CCGUGGGCGCUGGAGAACUGAGGGGGGCUGCUCCUAGUACGAGAGGACCGGAGUGGACGCAUCACUGGUGUUCGGGUUGUCAUGCCAAUGGCACUGCCCGGUAGCUAAAUGCGGAAGAGAUAAGUGCUGAAAGCAUCUAAGCACGAAACUUGCCCCGAGAUGAGUUCUCCCUGAGACUUAGAGUCUCCUGAAGGAACGUUGAAGACGACGACGUUGAUAGGCCGGGUGUGUAAGCGCAGCGAUGCGUUGAGCUAACCGGUACUAAUGAACCGUGAGGCUUAACCUUACAACGCCGAAG
Molecule: ribosomal RNA, 298 nt
Filed under: Escherichia coli
Lineage: Bacteria; Pseudomonadati; Pseudomonadota; Gammaproteobacteria; Enterobacterales; Enterobacteriaceae
Also listed under: 1 other name
Description: partial 23S ribosomal RNA
Rfam family: Bacterial large subunit ribosomal RNA
Source: RNAcentral